Molecule: long non-coding RNA, 619 nt
Organism: Mustela erminea (ermine)
Lineage: Eukaryota; Metazoa; Chordata; Mammalia; Carnivora; Mustelidae
Exons: 3
Source: RefSeq, a predicted model, not a curated record
GGCGAGGUGGCGGGGCGCAGGCUCUGGAUUUCCACCUCGUGACUGGGAACCCCAGCCCGGCCCGUCACUAGCGGUGUGACUGCAGAUGAGAAACGGAGGCACGGAGAUCCAGUCGCACCACCGGCAUGUGGCAGAGCACAUCUGACCCGGCCUGUUGGGCCCCCAAGUCCUGUUCAUUACCACUACACUCCGCUCCCCAAUCUGCCAUCCGUGGCUCCCCCCCAAGUCGGCCUCACCCCUCCAAGGCCUCUCUUCUUCAGAGAAUUUUACCCAGCCCCUCCAACCCAGAUUCAUCUUCAGCAUCUGCUCCCAACACUAGGACCUGCCAGCAGACUUCCCACUUGUGUCCUAGGCCCGGGGUCCCCGGAGUCACACUGAGCUCCUCCAAAGCUGGGACAACUAACUUGUCUUCAGCCCCACAGGGACUCUGGUCCUGAAUCAGGCAGCCCCUGCCCCCGGCAGAAUCGUCUAUUGCUCCUGCUGGCCCUGACUUUUGAGGAAGACAUCCAGAACUUUCCUUCGCCUAGAAUCUCCUCCCUCUUCUCCAAGCCCAGGGUCCUUGCCCUGAGUGGUUGGGGUCAGAAUCCAAGCCUUGUGGGCACAUCACACCAGGACUGGA